Molecule: ribosomal RNA, 929 nt
Filed under: Sabatieria pulchra
Lineage: Eukaryota; Metazoa; Nematoda; Chromadorea; Araeolaimida; Comesomatidae
Description: SSU rRNA
Rfam family: Eukaryotic small subunit ribosomal RNA
Source: RNAcentral
CGCGAAUGGCUCAUUACAACAGCCGUUGUUUCUUGGAUCUCUAAUUUUACUUGGAUAACUGUGGUAAUUCUAGAGCUAAUACACGCACUAAAGCUCUGACCUUACGGGACGAGCGCAUUUAUUAGAACAAAACCAAUCGGGCUUUGGCCUGUUCGUUGGUGACUCUGAAUAACUCUGCCGAUCGCACGGUCUCGCACCGGCGACGUAUCUUUCAAGUGUCUGCCUUAUCAACUUUCGAUGGUAGUUUAUGUGCCUACCAUGGUUGUAACGGGUAACGGAGAAUAAGGGUUCGACUCCGGAAAGGGAGCCUGAGAAACGGCUACCACAUCCAAGGAAGGCAGCAGGCGCGCAAAUUACCCACUCUCAGCACGAGGAGGUAGUGACGAAAAAUAACAAGACGGAUCUCUUUGAGGCCCGUUAUUGGAAUGAGAACAACUCAAAUCCUUCAACGAGGAUCUAGCGGAGGGCAAGUCUGGUGCCAGCAGCCGCGGUAAUUCCAGCUCCGCAGGUGUAUAUCUAUGCUGCUGCGGUUAAAAAGCUCGUAGUUGGAUCUGCGUGCUCGGAACUGGUUGGCUCACUGAAUUCAAACUGGUCUCCGGCGCUUUAUUUGCUAGUUUUCCCUUGAUGCUCUUAACCGGGUGUCUCGGGUAGCUAGCGUGUUUACUUUGAAAAAAUUAGAGUGCUCAAUACAGGCGCAAAGCCUUGAAUAGUGGUGCAUAGAAUAAUAAAAUAGGACCUCGGCUCUAUUUUGUUGGUUUUCAGAACACGAGGUAAUGAUUAAAAGGGACAGACGGGGGCAUUCGUAUUGCGACGUUAGAGGUGAAAUUCUUGGAUCAUCGCAAGACGGACGACUGCGAAAACAUUUACCAAGAAUGUUUUCAUUAAUCAAGAACGAAAGUUAGAGGUUCGAAGGCGAUCAGAUACCGCCC